CAGAAGCGGCACUCCGCCAUCAUCUUACCCCGGGUUUAUUCGGAACAAACGGACUUUCGGUGCCUCGGGACGACGGUGUGGUGUCCACGCAGAGCGUUCUGAGAGCCAGACGGUGCGAGACGAUAUAAUGUGCUGUUCCUGAAGAGAUCGGUUUGUGGCUCCAAGCAGGACCAUUAAAUCUGUAAUGAAGCCAGCUGCAGCAGGACACCGUUAUCCGUACGCUACCGUCUUGCCGGCACCAGAACACAAACACUUUUUGGGAUUUGGGACUGACUGAAGUGUGAGGCAUUUUAUCUGCCAUGAAAGUGGAGUAUCCGAUGUGGAGCUGAAGAGGGCACAGUCCAAAGACGUGGAUUAGAUCAGAAUACUCUACUCUAAAUCGCCCAUAGGUGUGAAUGUGAGUAAGUGAGUGAAAUGUUCAUCUCUGGGAUAGAUUGGUGCCACGCCCAGGGUGGGCCCUGCAUCUGCUGUGAUUUGGCUCCUGCAGCUCUGACGGAUGGCUUGAUGGAUGCCAGAUGAAUUUGGUACUUCAGUAGAACUUAUCAUUGUAUUGCAUGAUUGGAAAUUAUUGUAUUAUUGUGAAGCGCCAUAGGGCAGAUAGUGUAUAUGGUGCUAUAAAAAUGCUAUAUUUAUUAUUAUUAUUAUUAAUUAUUAUUAUUAUAAAUUGGACUCGAAGCCAUGAUUAGUAUCAGUCUUGGUGGAGAUGACAACUUUUUUUUUUUUUCAUCUCAUCUCAUCUCAUCAUCUCUAGCUGCUUUAUCCUGUUCUACAGGGUCGCAGGCAAGCUGGAGCCUGUCCCAGCUGACUACAGGCGAAAGGCGGGGUACACCCUGGACAAGUCGCCAGGUCAUCACAGGGCUGACACAGACAACCAUUCACACCUACGGUCAAUUUAGAGUCACCAGUUAACCUAACCUGCAUGUCUUUGGACUGUGGGGGAAACCAGAGCACCCGGAGGAAACCCACGCGGACACAGGGAGAACAUGCAAACUCCACACAGAAAGGCCCUUGCCGGCCACGGGGCUCGAACCCGGACCUUCUUGCUGUGAGGCGACAGCGCUAACCACUACACCACCGUGCCGCCCCAUGCUGAAAUAUUAAAUGUCAUGAAAUGCAAAGUUACACAAUUUCAGCUUUUUCAUGUUCAUGCUCUUAAGUUAAUCAGUUUCCUACCUAGUUAUCGAAUCGAUAAAAUUAUGCUGAUAAUGAGAAACUAUGAACUCCUCCACUGAUGUACUCAGUUUUUCGCAUCGUGUGCAUGAUUAGGUGAAUAGGUCACAUUGAGGUAGAUAUCAAUGUCUCAAAACAGAACGCAUCCACGUCAUGGAGAGAAAAAUCCACACACUCUUCAAGACUUCUGAAUAAUGCUUUCCUACAUUAUCCAUCACACUGCUUGACUUAUUUUGGUCCUUUAGUCUGUCCAGCUUCCUCACCUUGUCCUCUGUACACUGUGCUCAGGUUCCAAAGCUUCUCCGGUCCUGUUAAUGCUACUGUGAACAUCACACUUGUCAUCUCAUAUGUUGCGAACUAACCGAAUCGAGGCUCUGCUGUGACUCAGAUGUAUAGCUGCUGCGUUGCGUUCUGGAACUUUAGUCUUGCGUUUGCUCCAACGUCUCCACUGCUCCUAGAUCAGAUUCAUCAUUAAUAUGACUUGGAACAUCACUGGAAAACAGUGUCUGACCUUUAAGCUCUUGCUAAUGGUAAAAUCUGAUCUGUAUCCCUCAUUUGAUUGUUUUUGCCCCCCUUCCCACCCUCAACUUCAUUAUAAUUGCAUGAGAAAUGUCCUGCUGUGAUGUCAAAGUACCACACAGCAAUCAAAUUAUAAUCCAAAAGGGUUUGUUUUUUAAAUAUAAACAUUAUCACAACACGUGUUUCAGGGUGGAGAUUAAAUUAAAUUAAUCCUUAAUUAAAAAAAUCACAAUGCCUUAGACAAAAUUAUCUGUAACUUUAAAAGCGCUGUGGAAAAAAAGACGUUUUUUUACUUACACAAGUGAGUUCUGACUAAAAUGGUACCUUUUUUUAUGUAGAAAUACCAUUAAAAAUGUCUUCAUGGUUACACACUAUAAUGUACUGUGAACACCAUUUCUAUCAGUGCAUUUCUCCUGAACACAUGGAGCAGCUGAGACUAGGAUAGACUCGCUUUACAGCAGGUGAACGUUUCUGUGAAAUCCUGAGAAAUGUGUGUCCCAGAGCCGUCUCUAGGCCUGUGUAAUGUGGAGAGAUCUAAACCCUGUACAUACAGCAAGAGCUCCCUGGUGCCUACUGUGAAAAAAAUUCAGCAGACCUUCUGACAUUUUAGUUGUGGGGGGAUCGAAAUAAGUGUGAAAAUGGCCAACUUGGCUUGUCCCACCUGUAACCUUGGUUUGAACUAAGUGUUAUUUCUCCACUGAAAGUCAGCAGACAAGAUUACCCUCUGUGGAUAUGAGUGUGUUUAAAAGGAAAUACAACUAAGCUUGAUGCAGCUUUUAAUUAUUUUGAGUGCAACUCAGCCAAAGCAGGUGUCCCACGAACUUGCGGUCAACUCUGUGACAGUGCUGAAUUCAGCCCCAGUGUUGCAAUGGUUACUCAGAUACAAGGUUCACCUGUGUCUGUGUUGUCUGGCAGGGAGGGCAACAGAACAACCUUUCAUACACAUGAAGAAGAAACCUUUAUUCGUCACAUGCACACUUCAAGCACAGUGAAAUUCAUCCUCUGCAUUUAACCUAUCUGAAGCAGUGAACACACGCGCGCGCGCGCACACACUCAGAGCAGUGGGCAGCCCAGAGCACCCGGGGAGCAGUCAGGGGUUCGGUACGGCUGAGGUGCUCAAGGACAUCUCAGCCCAAGGCCGCCCCACAUCAACCUAACUGCAUGUCUUUGGACUGUGGGGGAAACCGGAGCACCCGGAGGAAACCCACGCAGACACGGGGAGAACAUGCAAACUCCACACAGAAAGGCCCUCGCCAGCCGCUGGGUUUGAACCCAGAUCCUUCUUGCUGUGAGGCGACCGUGCUAACCACUACACCACCGUGCCGCCCACGGAGCACCCAGAGGAAUCCCACGCAGACAUGGGGAGAACAUGCAAACUCCACACAGAAAGACCCUCGCCGGCUGCUGGGUUCAAACCCGGAACCUUCUUGUAGUGAGGCGACCGUGCUAACCACCGAUCAUGUGUACUGCUUUUGGUUGUUUUUUGCAUGGAAAAAUUGAAUCCUACCUUUUUUUUCUGUGUGUGUGUCAACUCUGUGACGGUGAUUACAUCUGCAAGAUUAACUGUGGUAAGUAGUCAGGAUGAUGAAACAAAGUGGCAGCCCACUCCCUUCACGCACGUGACCCUGGGUGAUAACGGGUUGAUACCAAUGACAUGGCAAGCCAAAAAGCCCAAAAUUAGUCAACUGUGACGUCUAGUGGAUGUAGCAUUGCCAGUGCUGCUGGAUACAGCAGUGCAGGCUCCAAUUCCACCAACAAUGUCUACUGUCCAUCCAUCCACUAUCUGUAGCUGCUUAUCCUGUCCUACAGGGUUGCAGGCAAGCUGGAGCCUAUCCCAGCUAGCUAUGGGCGAGAGGCAGGGUACACCCUGGACAAGUCGCCAGGUCAUUGCAGGACAAUGUCUGCUAAUGAAGCCAAAUUCUAGACAAUAAGCUGUUUAAUUUUGACUUUAAAGGAGGGGGUGCACAAAAAGUAACAGGCUUAGCAGAGUUAUUAGCUUCAAUAUUUUGACUGCAUUUACUCCCAAAUUAAGAUUAAAAAGCUACAAAUUAGUAUUUUCUGUCCAUCCAUUAUCUGUGACUGCUUAUCCUGUGCAGGGUUGCGGGCAAGCUGGAGCCUAUCCCAGCUGACUAUGGGCGAGAGGCGGGGUACACCCUGGACAAGUCACCAGGUCAUCACAGGGCUACAUGUAGAGACAACCAUUCACACCUAUGGUCAAUUUAGAGCCACUAAUUAACCUAACCUGCAUGUUUUUGGACUGUGGGGGAAACAUGGGGAGCACGUGCAAGCUAUACACAGAAAGGCCCUCAUCAGCCACUGGGCUUGAACCCAGAACCUUCUUGCUGUGAGGCGACAGUGCUAACCACUACACCGUACCGCCAGUAUAUUUUGUCAUUUAUACAAAAUAGUUAAGGAUUACAGCCACCAGGAGUGUAUUACAGGAGUAGAUGAUAGCUGGUCUGUCUGAGUUGAUCUCUCACAAAAUAAAUGAUGUAUGUGAUUAGUGUUUUGUACACUGAAAAAUAUAAAAGUGUUUGAGCACGGCUCUGCUGUGGACCUUUCACUUGGGAUGUGGUCUGAUCAUUUGGCAGUAUUUGUACCAAAACCUUUCAUUUUUGCCAAAUUGCCCACCCCAAAUUUCAGUAUUCACAGAAACACUUGGUUACAGAUGUCAUCUAAAAUCUUACUCGUGUUGAAUAAGAAACCAUUUUCAGCUCAUGAUUUUUGUCUGAGAAGAACAGGAAGACCUGCAGUCGCUUCAAAAUUAACAACCCGGACAGAGAAACUGACUAAUCCCAGUAUAAAGGUGAAUUGUUGCUAAUCUUCAGCAAACUGCAUGGUAAGGUUUUUCACCUUUACACACUUGACUCUGUAAAGGUUCAGUGACCAGAUUUUCCAGCAGCACAAGCUUCCUCACAUGCACCCAGUGAAAUUUUCUUUCAGUGUCUUGUAAUUAAAGAAAUAUGCAGUGCUCAAGACCACAAAUUUUACUGACGUGUAAAGCAUAAUGUGUGUGUGUGUGUGUGUGUGUGUGCGUGCAUACUGUCACUUGGAUUAAGGCCAGAUCCUGCAGUGCUCCAAGACAGAAAUGCUGUUUCUUGGUUUUGUGUUUGUGAGAUGUUUUUAAUGUGACCUGACAGGGCGAGACUGUGCAUUUCACUAGCAGACAGACCUUUUUAACAUGGCCACAGAACAUCGCUGCUUUUUUAAUGUUUUCCAUCAAGAUUUCAUUGAAUGCCUGGGGGGGGCAUUUUUCUAUAAUGGUGGUAGAAAAAAAAAUUAGACUGAAUAAUUAAACACAUGGCUACUAGUAGCUUACAGGGUUUAGUAGAGAUUUUGACUGAAGAUGUUCCUGCGACCUGACAUCAACCCGGCUGUGUCCUUGGAGGUCAAGACCGUAUUGUGUUACCAUCACAUUAGUGUUUGCCUCGGCGAACAUUCAACGCUGUCGGUGAGUUUGAGCUAAACUGAAAAAAAACCAUCGACCGUUGAUUGUACCCCAUGGCCUAACUCUGACAGCACUCCUCAACACAGGCUAAAAUAUCAAGAGACCGUCCUGGGAUGUCGUCUUCAUCCUCUUGAGUACUCGGGGCUUUGGGGAAAGAGCUCUUAUCAAAGGUCACAAUCAACAUUCAUUGCUGUCGGUGGGUUGCACUGUGAAGGAAAGCUCACUGAACAAUGAAUGCAACUGUGUCCCAAUCUUUCUCAUCUCACAUUAACAAACGGAGAUGAUGAAAUCUCUUGCUAACUCAUGCCUGGUAUUGCUUGUAUCUCCAUGUAAUGAAGACUGUAUCUCAAAUAAUACAGAACACUACCUGUGUUAAGGGGGGGGGGGGAUGAGAAUAAAGGAUAUUUAUCACAGCUUUCUUUGUGUUUUAAAGAAUUAAUCAUUCAUCACCGUACCACAGCCUGGUGUGUAGUUUAGAUUAGAUUACUUUACCUCAGAGCAAAGCAGAGUAUACUGAAGGUUUAUUUUCAAUAUAUUUUUUCCUGUUUCAUCUAUACACACCUUCAUGAAACCUUUCUCCAUCUAAGAAUUUGAAAGAAGAAACACAUCACACACAAUGAAAAUCCUCCUCUGCAUUUAACCCAUCUGAAGCAGUGAGCAUGCGCAUGCACACACAGACGGAUGUUAUUUGCCUUGCUCAAGGGCACUUCAACCAUGAUACAGAGGGAGGGGGAAAGUGCUGUUCAUUCACUCAACUCCCCUCACAUUUUUCCUGCCAUUCCCAGGAAUCAAACCAGCAACCUUUUGAGCCCAAGGCUGCUUCUCUAACCUUCAGGCCAUGGCUACUCCUUUGCUUUGUUUCAAAAGUCACUUUUAACCCAUAAAACAAAGUAUGGAGGUAUGAAUGUUCAUGUUGGAUUAUGGCCCAAAGGGAUGUUUUGUUGGACUUGCGCACCAGGUGUUGUCUGCUAAUACUUUUGCUUGAGGCUAAACUGAUGGUACUCAGUGAUAUCAACAUUUUAUCUGCUACAGUUUACACGAGGCAGAGAAAAUGUCCCAGCCCUUUCUAGGCUAAACCGAGAUUACGGCUCCUUGCCGUUCAUUCACGAAACAUUAAUCCAAAUUAAAUUGGUCAAGUAGCUGAACUGGCUUAUCGUAUCAGUGUUGGGGUGAGUGCGCAGAGGAAUGCCAGUCAAUCCUCUGGAUUAAUUAACAGCAGAUUACAGUUCAAUCCAAACGCUGUAAUGGUGGACAUCUUUAAUCUGUGUAGCUCUCCGUGUGCUUUCGACUCAUCCUGAGAUACCUAGAAAAUAAAAAGACAGUGAUGUCAACAAGAGAGGAAAGAAGGUUAUGUUUACAUGAUAAAAAGCAAUAUAAAGGAGGGAUGAUGGAAAGGGGGAGGAAAAAGUCAAAUGACUAGCAAUUUACACGAACGCACACAAAUGAAUGCAUUCGUUUUCAGAGGCCACUUUCUUCUCGUCAGGAUUGCAUUGGAUCUUAAUAGGCAUGAAGCGGGAAUUGGGACGUGAGCCCAUUGCACAGGUACAGAUUAAAGUGGAAUAAGGUGAUGGAACUCCAGCAGUGAUAGAUUAUUAGAUUUCAAGCCGCGUGUGUGUGUAUGUAUGUACAGAAUUGUAUGGAGCAGGUUCUGGAGCUGCUCUGUCCCUUUCUCAUUUCAUUUUGGUGUCCUAUACAUUUAUAUAUAAAUAAAUAGCGAUGACAAUAUCUUUGAAAAAGAUGGUCUGCUUUUUCUGUGAUUCAUCUCUAAAACAGUGCGAAGAAUGAUCAGUGAUUGGACCUUUCAGUUAACUUGCUCACAUCCAUUUUGAUCGGAACACCUAUAGACCUGCACAUUCAUGCAGUUAAUUACAAGUAGUCAAGCAUGCAGAUACAAAUCAAGAGCUUCAGUUAAUGUUCACAAUGUUCAAACAUUAGAAUGGGAAAAAUUCUAAUCUCGCAGUGAAGUGUGACUUCCUUUCACUGUGGCAUGGGUGUUGGUUUGAGCCACAUGGACCGGUUUGAGUAUUUCAGAAACUGCUGAUCUCCUGUGGUUUUCACAAACAGUCUAGAGUUUACACAGACAGAAUGGUGUGAAAAACAAAAAACACCAAGUGAGGGACAGUUCUGUGGGUGGAAACAAACCCCUUGUUGAUAAGAGAGGUCAGAGGAACAUAGCCAGAUUGGUUCGAGCUUUUUUUUGCCAGGAAGGAUAUAGUAACUCAUACAAUCACUCUUUACAACCGUGGUGAGCAGAAAAGCAUCUCAGCAUGCACAAAACAUCAAACACUGAGGUGUUGAGACCAUGUUUCCUUUCAGUUAGUCAAGUCUGUAGAAAAGCAAAUUACAAAGUGAUUCCAUAAUUUUUUUUUCCUCAACACAACACUGAGUGAUUCCAAUUUUCUUUCUCUAAUUGAUUUGGGGGGAAACAAUAAUAUGCUAUUAAUUAAAAUAAUUGAAUUUAAUUUGUUUGAGGUGUGUAUCGUGAAGCCAGUGUUUGGGUAUUAAACCGAUAUUGUUUUGUCAUUUGUCAGCUGUGAUUUGUUUAUUUUCUCUGAAGUUAAAAAUCCUCAAAGUGAGGCGAUUUCAUCAUUUUUGCCAGGGGUUGUAUGAGGUCAGAUUCCCGCUUCUCAGUGUUUGCUGAUCUUGCAUCAGAUUACACGGCUAACAGUAAACUGGACGACGUUAUUAAAGAUGAAAUAUUGUUGGCUCGCUCUUCUUCCUGUGAAACAUUUCGGCUUGAUUCCUGCUGUCCAUCACGUCCAGUUACAAACAGAAAACUUGAAUUUUUACCACUGUGCCAGAUUGGUCCUGCUUGCUUUAACCCAAGAGCAUAAGUUUGUGUUGCCAUGCGUGCGCACACAAAAACACACACACACAAAAAAAAAAAGACCCCUUGCAUUGAUGUCACAUUUUAUGUUAGCAGCCGUCGCUACCCUUGUCCUGGGGGACAAGCAAACUUUGCUUACGUACUGUUCACAUACUGAAGCCAAGUGAAGAUGUCCGACAUCUGUUGCUGUUUGAAGAAAACUACAGCUAAAAAUGCUCUACUACUGGAUUACUUGGACAAUCUUAGUCAGAAAGAAGUGAAGGAUAGAUAUACAUGGAAAUUAGAGUUUAUUAGUGAUUAUGAUCCGUACAAAAUUCCUCAAAAUGAUUGGAGUUAUGUAAAUUUGUGGCCUCGUCUUACCUACACAGAUGUUGGAAUAUACCUUCUUUUUCCAGAAGAGUCCUGACACGGAAUUCUUUCCACAAAGAAGGUGUGAAAGCCAAAGCAUUUACUCUCAAAGGACUCCGACCUGAACUGUGGGCUUGAUGGUAUUCCCUCCCAGCCCUCCAUGUGUCAACAACCCCAAGGAUGUCUAGUUACAUAGCUACACAUUUGCACUCUGUAUUGCAUUUAUAGCGAUACUUAUUAUUGCUAAAACAGUACAUGAAGUGGUGUUGUUUGUAAAAUAAAAUAUUUUACUCAACUUUUAAACAAUUAACAUUAAUAUUUUAUUUUAAUUUUAUCUAAUAGUGGA
Neoarius graeffei (lesser salmon catfish) is the source of this 8658-nucleotide long non-coding RNA. RefSeq lists it as uncharacterized. The transcript is spliced from 5 exons. NCBI's taxonomy places the organism in Eukaryota, Metazoa, Chordata, Actinopteri, Siluriformes, Ariidae. The record is from RefSeq and is a predicted model, not a curated record.